Molecule: ribosomal RNA, 467 nt
Filed under: uncultured bacterium
Lineage: Bacteria
Description: partial 16S ribosomal RNA
Rfam family: Bacterial small subunit ribosomal RNA
Source: RNAcentral
GACGAACGCUGGCGGCGUGCUUAACACAUGCAAGUCGAACGGAAAGGCCCUGCUUUUGUGGGGUGCUCGAGUGGCGAACGGGCGAGUAACACGUGAGUAACCUGCCCUUGACUUUGGGAUAACUUCAGGAAACUGGGGCUAAUACCGGAUAGGAGCUCCUGCUGCAUGGUGGGGGUUGGAAAGUUUCGGCGGUUGGGGAUGGACUCGCGGCUUAUCAGCUUGUUGGUGGGGUAGUGGCUUACCAAGGCUUUGACGGGUAGCCGGCCUGAGAGGGUGACCGGCCACAUUGGGACUGAGAUACGGCCCAGACUCCUACGGGAGGCAGCAGUGGGGAAUAUUGCACAAUGGGCGGAAGCCUGAUGCAGCAACGCCGCGUGCGGGAUGACGGCCUUCGGGUUGUAAACCGCUUUCGCCUGUGACGAAGCGUGAGUGACGGUAAUGGGUAAAGAAGCACCGGCUAACUACGU